RNAcentral lists this ribosomal RNA (833 nucleotides) under uncultured bacterium. Its description in RNAcentral is "bacterial SSU rRNA". It matches the Rfam family "Bacterial small subunit ribosomal RNA", at positions 79 to 914 of the family's 1533-position model. The record is from RNAcentral.
CAAUACUUGAGCUAGAGUGUCGUACGGGUGCGUAACACGUAUGCAACCUACCUUUUACAGGAGUAUAGCUCCCCGAAAGGGGAAUUAACCCUCCAUAAUAUCAUUGGAUGGCAUCAUUUGAUGAUUAAAACUGAGGUGGUAAAAGAUGGGCAUGCGUCUGAUUAGUUAGUUGGCAGUGUAACGGACUACCAAGACGAUGAUCAGUAGGGGACCUGAGAGGGUGAUCCCCCACACUGGCACUGAGAUACGGGCCAGACUCCUACGGGAGGCAGCAGUAGGGAAUAUUGGACAAUGGGUGAGAGCCUGAUCCAGCCAUGCCGCGUGCAGGAAGAAGGCGUUAUGCGUUGUAAACUGCUUUUGCCAGGGGAUAAAACGGUUCUGCGGAACUAAUUGAAGGUACCUGGUGAAUAAGCCACGGCUAACUACGUGCCAGCAGCCGCGGUAAUACGUAGGUGGCAAGCGUUGUCCGGAUUUAUUGGGUUUAAAGGGUGCGUAGGCGGCCCUGUAAGUCAGUGCUGAAAUAUCCCGGCUUAACCGGGAGGGUGGCAUUGAUACUGCAGGGCUUGAGUACAGAUGAGGUAGGCGGAAUUGACGGUGUAGCGGUGAAAUGCAUAGAUAUCGUCAAGAACACCGAUAGCGAAGGCAGCUUACCAAGCUGUAACUGACGCUGAGGCACGAAAGUGUGGGGAUCAAACAGGAUUAGAUACCCUGGUAGUCCACACUGUAAACGUUGAUGACUCGAUGUUGGCGAUAUACAGCCAGCGUCCAAGAGCAAUCGUUAAGUCAUCCACCUGGGGAGUACGCCGGCAACGGUGAAACUCAAAGGAAUUGAC